AAGUCGUAACAAGGUUUCCUUCCCGGGGCUUUUCGCGCCUGCCGAAGCCUCCCGCGGCGACUCUAAAUAACCGCGCAGUCCGUCCGUGGAUGGGCGACACGCUCACUGUGCUGGGAGCGACCCUCACCCGUUUCUGGGUGCCGUCACCAGCAGCCUUGGGGCGAUGUCCCGGGGCUCACAGAUCAGAUGAUCGUGGCCACCUCGGUGGUUGAGAUAUGACCGGUCCCCGCUGGCCGCGGCGGGGAGUCAACGUUCCGUAGGUGAACCUGCGGAAGGAUCAUUA
RNAcentral lists this ribosomal RNA (283 nucleotides) under Trimmatothelopsis versipellis. RNAcentral describes it as "partial 18S ribosomal RNA". Lineage: Eukaryota; Fungi; Ascomycota; Lecanoromycetes; Acarosporales; Acarosporaceae. The record is from RNAcentral.